RNAcentral lists this ribosomal RNA (206 nucleotides) under uncultured bacterium. Its description in RNAcentral is "partial 16S ribosomal RNA". It matches the Rfam family "Bacterial small subunit ribosomal RNA", at positions 1297 to 1500 of the family's 1533-position model. The record is from RNAcentral.
AUUGUAGGCUGAAACUCGCCUACAUGAAGCUGGAGUUGCUAGUAAUCGCGAAUCAGCAUGUCGCGGUGAAUACGUUCCCGGGCCUUGUACACACCGCCCGUCACACCAUGAGAGUUGGCAAUACCCAACGUACGUGAUCUAACCCGCAAGGGAGGAAGCGUCCUAAGGUAGGGUCAGCGAUUGGGGUGAAGUCGUAACAAGGUAAC